Molecule: ribosomal RNA, 497 nt
Filed under: uncultured bacterium
Lineage: Bacteria
Description: partial 16S ribosomal RNA
Rfam family: Bacterial small subunit ribosomal RNA
Source: RNAcentral
GAUGAACGCUGGCGGCGUGCCUAAUACAUGCAAGUCGAGCGAACGGACGAGAAGCUUGCUUCUCUGAUGUUAGCGGCGGUCGGGUGAGUAACACGUGGAUAACCUACCUAUAAGACUGGGAUAACUUCGGGAAACCGGAGCUAAUACCGGAUAAUAUUUUGAACCGCAUGGUUCAAAAGUGAAAGACGGUCUUGCUGUCACUUAUAGAUGGAUCCGCGCUGCAUUAGCUAGUUGGUAAGGUAACGGCUUACCAAGGCAACGAUGCAUAGCCGACCUGAGAGGGUGAUCGGCCACACUGGCACUGAGACACGGUCCAGACUCCUACGGGAGGCAGCAGUAGGGAAUCUUCCGCAAUGGGCGAAAGCCUGACGGUGCACCGCCGCGUGAGUGAUGAAGGUCUUCGGAUCGUAAAACUCUGUUAUUAGGGAAGAACAUAUGUGUAAGUAACUGUGCACAUCUUGACGGUACCUAAUCAGAAAGCCACGGCUAACUACGUG